Molecule: transfer RNA, 84 nt
Filed under: Minisyncoccota bacterium
Lineage: Bacteria; Bacillati; Minisyncoccota
Description: tRNA-Leu
Rfam family: tRNA
About the family: Transfer RNA (tRNA) molecules are approximately 80 nucleotides in length. Their secondary structure includes four short double-helical elements and three loops (D, anti-codon, and T loops).
Source: RNAcentral
GCCCGAGUGGUGUAAUUGGUAGCCACGAGAGACUUAAAAUUUCUUGUCAUUUAUGACGUGCGGGUUCGACCCCCGCCUCGGGCA